Molecule: long non-coding RNA, 581 nt
Organism: Uranotaenia lowii
Lineage: Eukaryota; Metazoa; Arthropoda; Insecta; Diptera; Culicidae
Exons: 3
Source: RefSeq, a predicted model, not a curated record
AAAAUCCAAUUUCCUUGAUUUGAGUAAAUUUUAUAUUGAACCGAACUAUUUUUCGUUUAAAGCAAAGUUUCAAGUUUUAAAAUCAAAAUAUUAAAUUUGAAUUCAAAGAAUUUAUUUUUUGACGCAGAAUCAAUGUAAAAAUUCAUUGAUUUAGAUGAUUUUUUUGUGAAUCAAAGUAUUUUUUCGUCAAAUAGUCGACACAGCUUCUGUUUGGCGGAAAAAUUUUUCCAACAACCAGUCAGACCUAUUUAUUUCAGCAGAAUCUUCCUUCCGGGCAACCCCAGACAGCACGGUGAGAUCCGGUGUAGGAAAGUUUCGACAGCUAUGAAAGGGACGAUAGUGGACUCCAAGAGCAAUCUUUCAUCCAACCAAUUUGAAGAAUUAACUGUACUGACUGUUCCAGUCCUCCGGCUAAGCGGUUGCAAUCGGUUCCGAUCCGGUUUAAGGAGACACGACGGCUGGCGCCGAAACCCUUUGGUCGAAAGCAAAGUCCACCAACAAAUAUCGUUCAAUGAACCGGUUUAAAAAUUCAAACAAGGGAAGAUCGAUUAUGUGAAGUGGUGAAAGGUAGAACAUCUACU